CUCCUACGUCCACAAGAAUUCUAUGUCAACAAUAGUGUCAUUGGUCAUGCAAUUAUAUUACAAAUAAAAUACUCGUAUCAAGUAGGACUCUAUUGGAUAAAAACAUCCAACUAAUUCAAUCCUACUAAAAGUAUACUAUCUACCUCUAUAAAUACAUGACCCAAGUCCAUUAUUCAGGUACGCUUUUACAUACAAUUUCAGUAUACGUUCUCAUAUAAAUUCUUUGUCUGACUUAAGCAUCGAAGGGGCGACGAGAACACACCUCGUUGCCUUUGUUUCAGGUACUAGAAGGCUCUGUUCGUGCUCUUUUUCAGUCCUGAAGUUCGGGAGGUCUACUAGGUACAUUUUUUGGUAGCAUCAUUGGCGCCGUCUGUGGGAAACGCUACCAAAAGCCAUGGUGAACACACGUUCAGGUCUUCCUCUAGCAAGCUCAUCCGUUCCAGAUCCUCAUCCUCCUCCUGAAGGUCAUCAUGUCCCUCAAGAAGAAUCAUCAGAGAUGCCAGCACCUCUCCCGACGGUCGUCACAACCGAAGCCUUUGAAGAGCUCCAUCAGCAGGUGGCCACACUCACGCAACUGUUAAGUCAAAGAAAUUCACAUCCGUCACCAGCGCAGGCAGAGCAUGGUGAUUUUAUAGCUGAUGCUCGAGCCCGACCACCAAACCUUGCAACUAGCGGAGUGGGAACCUCAGGAAUUCGCAAUAUGGCCUCGGGCUCGAGUUCGGUCGCCGUGGAUUCCAGUGAGAUUGCCCGAAUCAUUCAAGAAGGAAUUAUAGAUGUCCUACAGAGGAAUGCUUGGGGGUCAACGGGUUUUAUCCCUAACACCCCGUUCACUCCUGAGGUAUUAUCAUUCUCCAUACCGGACAGAUUUAAGUACCCCGUAUAAAAGAAUAUGAUGGAACUACCGACCCUAUCAACCAUCUUAAUAUCUAUACCGACGUCAUGAACUUGCAAGUUGCCCCAGACCAGGUGAUGUGCAAAGCUUUUCCUCAAACGUUGACCCACGCAGCCAGGGACUGGUUCUCAACCUUAGAGCCCAAUUCUAUAGCCUCUUUCUCAGAUCUGGUCGAUAAGUUCUCUACCUUCUUUGCCAGUAGUAAGCGCAUCAGAAAGAUAGCGACUUCCCUCAUGCAACUUGGUCAAGGAUAGAAUGAAACCCUACAUGACUUCAUGAAGAGGUUUAAUAAAUAAAGACUUCAGAUCCCUGAUCUCCAUAUCACAGUAGCAAUUUUCGCCCUCACCCAUGCUAUAAGAUGUGAAGCAUUCGAGAUGAGUUUGUCAAAAAUUCCCCCAAAGUCAGUGACCGAGCUUCUGACCUGAGGAGAGAAAUACAUUAAUAUGGAAGAAACAUUGAAUCCAAUGUGAGUUAGUCCGACUUAUGAUGGGGCCGAGCAUAAGAGGCAACGUGAGUUGUAUCUACAGCAAGACCUUACCAGAGGAAAGCAGAAGCAAGGAACACCACCAACACUUACCCAUUUGAACACCUCUAGGUCGAACAUAUUAAUGGAAAUCAAAGAUAUGAAGGUGUUCAAUUGGCCACCGCGGUUGAGGUCUCCCCCUGAGACCAGGGACAAGAACAAGUACUGUAACUACCAUCGUGACCAUGGGCAUACUACAAAGGAUUGCAUUACAUUGCAACGUGAGAUUGAAGCUUUGAUAAAAAGAGGUUUCCUAAAGGAGUAUAUCAGGCAUGACAAGCGUCCCAGGAAUGAUUGCAACAAUGGAAACACCACAGAAUCUGGGAGAGGUAACCAACCAACAGUAGGUACCAUCAACCUUAUAACCCGGGGGAUUGCCUCGGGAGAAGAUUCAAAUAGUGGGCACAAAUAAUAUGCCCGACGACACAGUUCCAUAUAAAUGACAGCUCCCAACGACAUGAAAGAUAUCACAUUUGGAUCGAAGGACUCAAAAGACAUAUCAUACCCUCAUGACGAUGCCUUGGUCAUAUCUACCAUCAUCGCCAACUUUGAAGUAAGGAGGGUCUUGGUUGACAAUGGAAGUGCGGCCAAUGUGUUGUCCCAAGAGGCCUUCAUGAAGAUGGGUAUUUCUGUUAACCAGUUCAAGACAGUCAAAACAUUGCUCCAGGGAUUUGGGCGUGGGACAAUCAUCCUGGCAGGAAUCGUUGAUCUUCCCCUAACGUUGGGCUCAGGGCAAAAUCAGGUGACAGAAGUCACUCCCUUUCAUGUAGUCCAUGUUUCGAUGGCCUACAAUGCCAUCAUCGGGAGACCAUUGCUCAAUAAAAUUAGGGCCAUUGUAUCCACCUUCCAUCUUGUUAUGAAGUUUCCAAUAAGUGACGAUAUAGGGAUCGUACGUAGAGAUCAGAAAGCAGCAAAGCAGUGCUAUGUUACUUGUGUUCGGGGAAUGAGCACUGAUGUCAUGCAAGUAUCAACCCCUAAGUUCGAGCUCGAGAACCAGCAAAAAUUUGUCCCAGAAGAACUGAUAGAGGCCGAGGUCGAGCAUAGCGAAUAUUGAUGAUCGCUUAGGAUUUAUUUUUAUUUUUUGGUUUCCAUUUUGGCUUGUUUAGUUUAGUUUACUUGGGUUUGCAUGCCCUAUGCUUUUUUGGUUAGUUUACCUUUAUUCGGGCUAGUACGCCCUAUGCAUUUUCUUAUCUACUUAAAUAGUUAUUUUGACA
Molecule: long non-coding RNA, 2629 nt
Filed under: Olea europaea subsp. europaea
Lineage: Eukaryota; Viridiplantae; Streptophyta; Magnoliopsida; Lamiales; Oleaceae
Source: RNAcentral